ACUUGACUGGCUCAGUUGGUAGAGCACGUGGCUCUUGAUCUUGGGGUUGUGAGUUUGAACCCCAUGUUGGGGU
Molecule: transfer RNA, 73 nt
Filed under: Canis lupus familiaris (dog)
Lineage: Eukaryota; Metazoa; Chordata; Mammalia; Carnivora; Canidae
Also listed under: 2 other names
Rfam family: tRNA
About the family: Transfer RNA (tRNA) molecules are approximately 80 nucleotides in length. Their secondary structure includes four short double-helical elements and three loops (D, anti-codon, and T loops). Further hydrogen bonds mediate the characteristic L-shaped molecular structure. tRNAs have two regions of fundamental functional importance: the anti-codon, which is responsible for specific mRNA codon recognition, and the 3' end, to which the tRNAs corresponding amino acid is attached (by aminoacyl-tRNA synthetases). tRNAs cope with the degeneracy of the genetic code in two manners: having more than one tRNA (with a specific anti-codon) for a particular amino acid; and 'wobble' base-pairing, i.e. permitting non-standard base-pairing at the 3rd anti-codon position.
Source: Rfam by way of RNAcentral